Molecule: transfer RNA, 72 nt
Filed under: Camelus bactrianus (Bactrian camel)
Lineage: Eukaryota; Metazoa; Chordata; Mammalia; Artiodactyla; Camelidae
Also listed under: 1 other name
Rfam family: tRNA
About the family: Transfer RNA (tRNA) molecules are approximately 80 nucleotides in length. Their secondary structure includes four short double-helical elements and three loops (D, anti-codon, and T loops).
Source: Rfam by way of RNAcentral
GAGGGUAUAGCUCAGUGGUAGAGUACAUGCUUAGCAUGCACAAGGUCCUGGAUUCAAUCUCCAGUACCUCCA